GCUAUUCAUAGAGGUCCCUUUCACCAUGUUAUACGGGUCAGAUGCAAUGCUAUUCAUAGAGAUCGACAUGCCCUCAUGACGACGUUCUCAGUUUGACCAGAAGGUGAACGAUUCUGAGUUGAGGCGUGAUGCUGAUUUAAUCAAGAAGUAUGGGAUGUCACCCAUAUCCUAGAGUUUGUCGCCAAGCAAAUAGCAGCCAAAAGAUAUAACUCUUAGGUAAUGCCAAUGGAAAUGCAGGAAGGUGACUCAGAUUUAAGGAAAGUUG
RNAcentral lists this long non-coding RNA (265 nucleotides) under Lathyrus oleraceus (garden pea). RNAcentral's name for it is "Pisum sativum (pea) long non-coding RNA (PSAT_LNC010581)". The record is from RNAcentral. Lineage: Eukaryota; Viridiplantae; Streptophyta; Magnoliopsida; Fabales; Fabaceae.